CUUCCAAGUACUAUUGGGCCAGACAAUGAGCCACUCUAUUUCCUGAUCUAGGGAUAAACCGGAAGCUACACAUGUCAAACUUCUCACUAAUUUUCCAGAUUUCUUCUAAAACUGACCCCAGAUAAGAUAUAUCUAUGUCCUUUUCUAUCCCUCUAUUGAGCUUGCGAAUAACAGCUUCACAAUCACUUUCAAAGAUCAUAUGUUUAAGAUCAGAUGUCAGCGCAAGGUGCAUGGCUGCGAGAAUGGCAUAGGCCUCGGCAGUAGCUGCACAGUUGAAACCAUUUCUGCUCCACGUUGCGGAGGUCAUAGCUUGACCUGCAGAAUUGUGAAUAAUGCACCCCAAACCCCACCUGCCUUGCAUUUGUGAUCCUGAGUAGUUGGUGGUGGCUCAAGUGUCUAGGGCUCUGAUACAUUUGGGAUGGGUUUACUUUAAUUAUGUUUCAUUCCUUAUGUAUCAUAUUUUGAAACUUGAUGUUGUAGCCCUUUUUUUUAGUGGUUGAAUUUAUGUUGUUGAGGCUUUUGUGCCAAGGAUUAUCAUGGAGAAUUAAACAGUUAAUGUUGUUGCUCUUAAUGCAAAUAUUCCGCUGCAGAUUAUUGAGGUUUAAUUAAAUA
Medicago truncatula (barrel medic) is the source of this 612-nucleotide long non-coding RNA. RefSeq lists it as uncharacterized. The record is from RefSeq and is a predicted model, not a curated record. Lineage: Eukaryota; Viridiplantae; Streptophyta; Magnoliopsida; Fabales; Fabaceae. The transcript has 2 exons.